GAGUGGCGAACUGGUGAGUAACACGUGGGAAACCUGCCCAGAAGCGGGGGAUAACACCUGGAAACAGAUGCUAAUACCGCAUAACAACUUGGACCGCAUGGUCCGAGUUUGAAAGAUGGCUUCGGCUAUCACUUUUGGAUGGUCCCGCGGCGUAUUAGCUAGAUGGUGGGGUAACGGCUCACCAUGGCAAUGAUACGUAGCCGACCUGAGAGGGUAAUCGGCCACAUUGGGACUGAGACACGGCCCAAACUCCUACGGGAGGCAGCAGUAGGGAAUCUUCCACAAUGGACGAAAGUCUGAUGGAGCAACGCCGCGUGAGUGAAGAAGGGUUUCGGCUCGUAAAACUCUGUUGUUAAAGAAGAACAUAUCUGAGAGUAACUGUUCAGGUAUUGACGGUAUUUAACCAGAAAGCCACGGCUAACUACGUGCCAGCAGCCGCGGUAAUACGUAGGUGGCAAGCGUUGUCCGGAUUUAUUGGGCGUAAAGCGAGCGCAGGCGGUUUUUUAAGUCUGAUGUGAAAGCCUUCGGCUCAACCGAAGAAGUGCAUCGGAAACUGGGAAACUUGAGUGCAGAAGAGGACAGUGGAACUCCAUGUGUAGCGGUGAAAUGCGUAGAUAUAUGGAAGAACACCAGUGGCGAAGGCGGCUGUCUGGUCUGUAACUGACGCUGAGGCUCGAAAGUAUGGGUAGCAAACAGGAUUAGAUACCCUGGUAGUCCAUACCGUAAACGAUGAAUGCUAAGUGUUGGAGGGUUUCCGCCCUUCAGUGCUGCAGCUAACGCAUUAAGCAUUCCGCCUGGGGAGUACGGCCGCAAGGCUGAAACUCAAAGGAAUUGACGGGGGCCCGCACAAGCGGUGGAGCAUGUGGUUUAAUUCGAAGCUACGCGAAGAACCUUACCAGGUCUUGACAUACUAUGCAAAUCUAAGAGAUUAGACGUUCCCUUCGGGGACAUGGAUACAGGUGGUGCAUGGUUGUCGUCAGCUCGUGUCGUGAGAUGUUGGGUUAAGUCCCGCAACGAGCGCAACCCUUAUUAUCAGUUGCCAGCAUUAAGUUGGGCACUCUGGUGAGACUGCCGGUGACAAACCGGAGGAAGGUGGGGAUGACGUCAAAUCAUCAUGCCCCUUAUGACCUGGGCUACACACGUGCUACAAUGGAUGGUACAACGAGUUGCGAACUCGCGAGAGUAAGCUAAUCUCUUAAAGCCAUUCUCAGUUCGGAUUGUAGGCUGCAACUCGCCUACAUGAAGUCGGAAUCGCUAGUAAUCGCGGAUCAGCAUGCCGCGGUGAAUACGUUCCCGGGCCUUGUACACACCGCCCGUCACACCAUGAGAGUUUGUAACACCCAAAGUCGGUGGGGUAACCUUU
This 1363-nucleotide ribosomal RNA is filed under the name Lactiplantibacillus plantarum. RNAcentral describes it as "Lactobacillus plantarum 16S ribosomal RNA". It matches the Rfam family "Bacterial small subunit ribosomal RNA", at positions 93 to 1443 of the family's 1533-position model. The record is from RNAcentral. Lineage: Bacteria; Bacillati; Bacillota; Bacilli; Lactobacillales; Lactobacillaceae.